AACAAAUGGGUUGAUUUGAGAUGAAUUUAAAUAGUAGAUUAGAUUAAUGUCAUGUUGUUUAGUACUCAAGUGAUGAUUCAGGUGUUGCUCAAACACUAUCUCCUCACAGCUGAAGCUUAACAUCUACUGUAUUUCCCCAACACAGCAUGCUUGACUUUGUUUUGAAAUAAUACAGUUGCCGUUCCUCCCCAGGCCUCACCUCAGAGUCCCGCUGUAUGCAGCAGCCACAAACAACCCAGGGAUUCCAGGGUAGAUCGCCAAAAUAUCCAUCACAAGUUACCGUCUGUGAGAUGUACAUUGACGUCCCAAUUAUCCGGAUGGGCCGACUGAAGCGCAGCCCCAGGUGCUGGUUAUCCCCAGUCGGUAAAAAAGGGGGACAAAGAUCUCAGCGGUGACGACAGACAUGAUGGCAUAGGAGAAGCCGAAGAGCCAGAAGGCCGAUCCAAACCGGUAAGCCUCAGCUGGUGUGCCGAUGACCGUGAU
Molecule: long non-coding RNA, 483 nt
Organism: Platichthys flesus (European flounder)
Lineage: Eukaryota; Metazoa; Chordata; Actinopteri; Pleuronectiformes; Pleuronectidae
Exons: 3
Source: RefSeq, a predicted model, not a curated record